GAAAUUAUAACAAUAAAAUCGUUAUUCUAAUAGAAUACUAACAAUGCUCUAAUUAGACCAUAAUAAUGCUAAGCAAGCUUUAAUCAAAUUCAAAGAAACCUCAAAGAAAUUUCAAAGAAAUAAUAAAAAAAUCUUAAAGAAAUAUUAGAAUGAUUACAAAUAUCUCUCAAAUAUAUCUCAAUUCAAUCUUAAUUUAAUCCUAGUUAAAAUCCUAUUAGACUUUAUUCAAACUUUAGGCCAAAUCUAAUUAAAUUUUAAACCCUAAAUAAAUCCUAAUAAAAUUCUAAAUCCUAAACCAAAACCUAAAGAAAUCCUAAACCAAACCCUAACCAAACUUCAAUCAAAUCUUAGUAAUUUCUACAAUAGAUUUAAACCUCAAUAACUAAUGAAUGAACUGUUGAUCUUAAUUCAAAUUUUUCAUAUUUCUUAAAAACUAAGUUGAAAACAUGUACAAAAAGUUUGAAAAGGAUCGGAAUUACUAAAUAGACGAUAAUCCCAAAAACGUGCUCGAGUAUUGGCAAGCCUCCUUUUCCAACCUUGAUGCCAAUCUUCCAGAGCCAAUAUCUCUCUUUUUCACCGUUUCAUUGAUUUCAAAAUUCUCAUACACAUAAAAAAAUAAGUAUAGUAUUCUCUUACACAAAUUUCACUCCAAUCCAACUAGUAGAUUGCAAUAAAUCUUGAAAACCCUCACUAGACCUAAAAUUCUACUUUCUGAGAUCUUCACUCACUUAAACUUCAAUAAUCCUCAAUUCAAUCAUUAGAUCAAGCUCAAA
Molecule: long non-coding RNA, 773 nt
Filed under: Physcomitrium patens
Lineage: Eukaryota; Viridiplantae; Streptophyta; Bryopsida; Funariales; Funariaceae
Description: long non-coding RNA (PPAT_LNC003621)
Source: RNAcentral